CGCGGCCUAUCAGCUUGUUGGUGAGGUAAUGGCUCACCAAGGCAACGACGGGUAGCUGGUCUGAGAGGACGAUCAGCCACACUGGAACUGAGAUACGGUCCAGACUCCUACGGGAGGCAGCAGCAGGGAAUCUUGCGCAAUGGGCGAAAGCCUGACGCAGCGACGCCGCGUGGGGGAUGAAGGCCUUAGGGUUGUAAACCCCUUUCACGAGGGAAGAAACUGACGGUACCUUGAGAAGAAGCCCCGGCCAACUACGUGCCAGCAGCCGCGGUAAUUCGUAGGGGGCGAGCGUUGUCCGGAUUUAUUGGGCGUAAAGGGCUCGUAGGCGGCUUGACAAGUCGGCCGUGAAAGCCCAGGGCUCAACCCUGGGACGCCGGUCGAUACUGUCAUGGCUAGGGUCCGGUAGAGGGGAAUGGAAUUCCCGGUGUAGCGGUGAAAUGCGCAGAUAUCGGGAGGAACACCAGUAGCGAAGGCGGUUCCCUGGGCCGGUACCGACGCUGAGGAGCGAAAGCGUGGGUAGCAAACAGGAUUAGAUACCCUGGUAGUCCACGCCGUAAACGUUGGGUACUAGGCGUGGCGUCUUAUCAACGGAUGCCGUGCUCAAAGCUAACUCGUUAAGUACCCCGCCUGGGGAGUACGG
RNAcentral lists this ribosomal RNA (640 nucleotides) under uncultured Actinomycetes bacterium. RNAcentral's name for it is "bacterial SSU rRNA". It matches the Rfam family "Bacterial small subunit ribosomal RNA", at positions 232 to 885 of the family's 1533-position model. Lineage: Bacteria; Bacillati; Actinomycetota; Actinomycetes. The record is from RNAcentral.